Myotis myotis is the source of this 836-nucleotide long non-coding RNA. RefSeq lists it as uncharacterized. NCBI's taxonomy places the organism in Eukaryota, Metazoa, Chordata, Mammalia, Chiroptera, Vespertilionidae. The record is from RefSeq and is a predicted model, not a curated record. The transcript has 3 exons.
GCUGGGACUCCCGGGUGCCUACCCUUGUGGAUUCUUUUUUUAAAUAUUAAAACGCGCUCACUAAACAUAAAAAAGAAAGUGCAUAGUGGAAAGAAGAAAAUCAAAAGCAGCAUCAAAAUAUGAUCGUGAAAACUGCUGUGUUUACUAUUUGUUCCCGUUUUCCCGCCUCCUUGAAUAGUUUACGCCCAGCUUUCCAUUGGACACAGCGAGCUGAGCAUUAGAGAGGCGGUGCGCACCCGGGCACCCGAGAACGCCCCGCCACGCUCCUUCCCUGGGAGCCACAUUCAGCAUCUCAGGAGCCAGCUGUGGCGGCAUUAACUAUUUGGCUGGGCUCACUGGACCAAAUGCUUCCAUCAUUGUUGCCCUCGGCUGCACUGUCGAUACCCCCUCAGCGCAGCUCCAGAAGGUCUCUUCUAGGGGCCUUCCAGGGGCAGCGAUGGUGUAGAAAAAGAACAGCUUCACCGUAAGCUUGAGAAAACGCUAACUCUUCCCAUCAAAGACUGGAGGUGGCUGGGAGGCUGGGAGGAGCAGAGAAGUGAAGUCCCCCAAGCUACCCUUUGACACCAACCGUGUUUUCCCCACUUAUAAAAGCCGGUCCGUGUGUGUUUAAUUCACCUUUGUGUCCCCAGCACCUGGCUCAGUGCCUAAAAGAAUGAACGUGAACAGCCUAUCACAUGACAUCAAUCAUCAGUUAGACAUUGAAAAACAUCCUAGUUGUUUGAGUUUUCUGGUUGUUUGAAUUUGCCCUGGGAAUUAGAUUUUAAAGCAAUUUACCUAGCCCGGCCGGCGUGGCUCAGUGGUUGAGUGUCAACCUAUGAACCAGGAGGUCAUGGGUU